UUAUCUUCAACUUUUAGGGCUACAUUCAAGAGAACAUGAACUUGAUACUUGUUUAUGGGGUGCUUCUCCCAUCAUCAUUGUGCUUAGAGAUUUGGUGUCUUUUAAACCCAUCGUAGGUGUCUACAUCUAGCCUAUAUUUUGAAUCCCCAUAGGCCAUCAACUUCUUCUCCUGAUAGCGCUGCAGGCGGCCAGGCCGUGCAUCUGCACACGGUACAAUCAGUGGUAGUCACAAGGCUGCAUCACAUAUGUAGCCGUUUGCACUCCGGAUGGUUUCAGAGGAUGUCCAGAGGCUGUUCAAACACAUUUCGAGAGGAGACAACAAAGCCUUAAGAAGAUCAGAACAAGAAAUACAAAUUCAGUUUGUAUUAACAGAACUAUAUAGCUUUCUUAGAAGUAGGCUACUUUUAAGUUACAUUGUAUCGUUUUUUGUUUUUGUUUUUUUUUUUAGCAUGUUUUUGUUUUAGUCUAAGAUUUUAUUGACUUUGAGCGAUCUAUUUAAAUCUGAUAUUCUCCACAUCGUCAGUCAUGUUCAAAAAAAAGGAUCCAGAAAAAAUUGCCCUGGUGUCAGACGUGAGGAACUCAUACACCACUCUAAGCAUGUCCAACCAGGAGGCUUUAAAGAUGGACGGCACAGGUGACAUCAAGCAUUGCCAUGACAACAGCCAUGCACAGGAGGAUCGUGAACGAGAGAAGAAAGUCGCCAAGAAGAGGUUGUAUGUAGUCUCAGUCAUCUGCCUGGUUUUCAUGAUCGGUGAAAUCCUUGGUGGGUAUUUUGCAGGCAGUCUUGCGGUGAUGACAGACGCUGCCCACCUGCUUGUGGACCUGGUCAGCUUCAUUAUCAGCCUGUUAUCCCUCUGGCUCUCCUCCAGACCUGCUACACACAAGCUCAGCUACGGCUGGCAUCGUGCAGAGAUCCUGGGUGCGCUGCUGUCAGUUUUCACCAUCUGGCUGGUAACAGGAGUGUUGGUUUACCUGGCUGUGGAGCGCAUUCUCAACGAUGACUACACCAUCGAGGGCACUAUCAUGCUCAUUACCUCUGGUUGUGCAGUGGUGGCUAAUAUUAUCAUGGCCUUCGCUCUUCACCAGUCCGGCCACGGCCACAGUCACGGGGGUCUCGGUUCACCCGGACACGGCCAUAGUCACAACGGUCACAGCUCGCACGGCAACAGUCACGGGGGUCAAGGGCACAGCCACAUUAAGGAACACAGACAGAGGGCUCAGCAGGGCAACGCCAGUGUGCGAGCAGCCUUCGCCCAUGUGUUGGGAGAUCUUCUCCAGAGUGUCAGCGUGUUUCUCAGCGCCAUCAUUAUCUUCUUUAAGCCAGAAUAUAAGAUUGCUGACCCCAUCUGCACUUUCCUGUUCUCCAUAUUUGUCUUGUGCACCACCCUCACCAUCCUGAGGGAUAUUGUAAUUGUCCUGAUGGAAGGCACUCCAGCAGGGGUGAAGUACGGUGAAGUGCGGGAUGGUCUGCUAGCAGUGAAGGGUGUGACGGCGGUCCACAACCUUCACAUUUGGGCCCUCACCAUGAACCAGACUGUACUGACUGCACACGUAGCCAUAGACGAGACAGGGGAUGCUCACACUGUCCUGAGGGAAAUGACACAGGCUUGUUUCUCCACCUACAACUUCCACUCUGUUACGAUUCAAAUGGAGAGACAGGCCGACCUGAAGCCUGGAUGUAACCUGUGUGAGGAUCCCAAGAAGUAGGAAUCUGCCUAAAUUCUUGAUCUGAUUCCAGCAGAAUAAGGCCAAGCUAUAUGUUUUUGCUCUUGUAACCUCAAUAAUUAUAACAAGUUGUUUUGCACUGCUUGUUGGAUCCUAAGGCUUGUUCCUUAAAGGCAUACUAUGCAGUUUCCAUUUUUGUCAAACAGCGACCGCUAGAGUCGCUGUGGACUCUCGCCAACGAGUGAAAGCCUGACCGAAUGGGACUCUUGUCCGGUUCCUCACGCGGUCAGUUUCUCAUUUUCUUUUCCUUGACUCUUCCGACCAUGCUU
RNA transcript from Sander lucioperca (pikeperch), 1994 nucleotides. It is a transcript of the gene named solute carrier family 30 member 8, with no coding region annotated. The record is from RefSeq and is a predicted model, not a curated record. NCBI's taxonomy places the organism in Eukaryota, Metazoa, Chordata, Actinopteri, Perciformes, Percidae. The transcript is spliced from 10 exons.